Molecule: long non-coding RNA, 768 nt
Filed under: Amborella trichopoda
Lineage: Eukaryota; Viridiplantae; Streptophyta; Magnoliopsida; Amborellales; Amborellaceae
Description: long non-coding RNA (ATRI_LNC000299)
Source: RNAcentral
CGCAACGGAAAUUUAACAGAAAGGGUUACAGAGAAAAAGAAAAGUCAAAAGAAACCACAAAGAGAAUAAAAGCCACUUAAGAGAAAUUCAUAAUCAGGAAAGGAAUGUGCUUUCACAGAAAGGGUACAGAGAGGAAGAUAGCACAAAGGGAAUACCCCAAUAACAAAAAUCAGGGAAUUUUCCUGGUACGAAACAAUGAAUGUUUACAGAAAUGGCAAGACCGAGAGAGAGAGAGAGAGAGUAGGUCAAAAACACCAUACUGAAGAAGAGAGAGGGAGUUUGAGAAGCAAUAUAAUUGCUACAGAUUCCAAUAGGGAGGAUCAAAAAGAGGUAUAUCACCGAGAAAGAGAGUAGAGCGAGAGAGAGAGAAAGGCCAUUCUAGAGAGAGAGAGAGAGAGAGAGAGAGAGAUACCGCAUAUUUGAUGGGUGCCUCAAGCUCGAGGAGGUUGGGCUGUUGCAUGAAAUGUCGUUUGGAGACGACACAGAGCUGACGGAUCUCGGACUCAGAGAGCUGGACCUGCUUUCCUGACCUUGUUCCUCUCACCUCAGAAGCCUAGCAAUGAUAUCAUCGACGUANNNNNNNNNNNNNNNNNNNNGAGAGAGAGAGAGAGAGAGAAGAGAGAGAGAGAGAGAGAGAGAGAGAGAGAGAGAGAGAGAUACCGCAUAUUUUGAUGGGUGCCUCAAGCUCGAGGAGGUUGGGCUGUUGCAUGAAAAUGUCUUUGGAGACGACACAGAGCUGACGGAUCUCGGACUCAGAGAGCUGGACCU